GACCCGUCCCGGUGGGAGGGACCUGGGCUGGGGGGGACGGCAGGGGAACAAGGGGGUGGGACUGGGGAAGCUUCUGGGAACAUUUGCUCUAGGGAUUCAGCUAAACUAAGAAAAAUUGGUCCAAGGCUCGGCACAAAAGGAUCUUUUCAUUCCAGUCCUUUCGCCCACGCAGGGAACGAUGCCUCUGGAGGUGGUGGUGGAGCUGCAGAUCCGGGCGAUUUCUUGCCCAGGAGUGUUCCUGCCUGGCAAACAAGAUGUGUACCUCGGGGUCUACCUCAUGAAUCAGUACCUGGAGACAAACAGCUUUCCCUCUGCGUUCCCCAUUAUGAUUCAGGAGAGCAUGAGAUUUGAAAAGGUAUUUGAAAGUGCAGUAGAUCCUGGAGCUGUAGUAGACCUUUUGGAAAGCUUCCUAACCAGGUUUGAAUUAAUACAGCUAGUUCCUCCAGUGUGGGAUGAGUUGGCCUACUAUGAAGAAAACACAAGAGAUUUUCUUUUUCCAGAGCCCAAGCUGACACCUUCACACCCUAGGAGGUGUAGGGAGGUGCUCAUGAAGACGGCUCUGGGUUUUCCAGGCAUUGCUCCCAAAAUAGAGUUUUCUACAAGGACAGCCAUCAGAGAAUGUGUGUUUCUGCAUAGAAACAGAUUUCUUGUUGAUUCCAAAUCUUGGCUAUUGUGAAUAGUGCUGCAGUAAACAUGGGGCCACCUUUCUUUUGCUGAGGCUGAUGCUCAGAUUGUAUUCGUGGUCCAUCUUUGGAAGAAAGACAUAAGUCACAAAGGCCUUUAUCUACAUCACAUGAACCAAUAUUUCCCU
This 811-nucleotide small RNA is filed under the name Pongo abelii (Sumatran orangutan). RNAcentral describes it as "processed transcript". The record is from RNAcentral. Lineage: Eukaryota; Metazoa; Chordata; Mammalia; Primates; Hominidae.